UAUAGAGGUUCUCUGACGGUUCUAUAGCGGUUCUCUGACGGUUCCGUAGAGGUUCUCUGACGGUUCUACAGAGGUUCUCUGACGGUUCUAUAGCGGUUCUCUGACGGUUCUAUAGAGGUUCUCUGACGGUUCUGUAGAGGUUCUCUGACGGUUCCGUAGAGGUUCUCUGACGGUUAUAUAGAGGUUCUCUGACGGUUCUAUAGAGGUUCUCUGACGGUUCUAUAGGUUCUCUGACGGUUCUAUAGAGGUUCUCUGAUGGUUCCAUAGCGGUUCUAUAGCGCUUCCGUAGAGGUUCUCUGACGGUUCUGUAGAGGUUCUCUGACGGUUCUGUAGAGGUUCUCUGACGGUUCUAUAGAGGUUCUCUGACGGUUCCGUAGAGGUUCUCUGACGGUUCUAUAGAGGUUCUCUGACGGUUCUAUAGCGGUUCUCUGACGGUUCUAUAGAGGUUCUCUGACGGUUCCGUAGAGGUUCUCUGACGGUUCUAUAGAGGUUCUCUGACGGUUCUAUAGCGGUUCUCUGACGGUUCUAUAGAGGUUCUCUGACGGUUCUAUAGCGGUUCUCUGACGGUUUCGUAGAGGUUCUCUGACGGUUCUAUAGAGGUUCUCUGACGGUUCUGUAGAGGUUCUCUGACGGUUCCGUAGAGGUUCUCUGACGGUUCUGUAGAGGUUCUCUGACGGUUCUAUAGCGGUUCUCUGACGGUUCUAUAGAGGUUCUCUGACGGUUCUGUAGAGGUUCUCUGACGGUUCUAUAGAGGUUCUCUGACGGUUCCGUAGAGGUUCUCUGACGGUUCUAUAGGUUCUCUGACGGUUCUAUAGAGGUUCUCUGAUGGUUCCAUAGCGGUUCUAUAGCGCUUCCGUAGAGGUUCUCUGACGGUUCCGUAGAGGCUCUCUGACGGUUCUGUAGAGGUUCUCUGACGGUUCCAUAGGUUCUCUGACGGUUCUAUAGGUUCUCUGACGGUUCCAUAGGUUCUCUGACGGUUCUAUAGGUUCUCUGACGGUUCUAUAGAGGUUCUCUGAUGGUUCUGUACAGGUUCUCUGACGGUUCUAUAGAGGUUCUCUGACGGUUCUGUAGAGGUUCUCUGACGGUUCUGUACAGGUUCUCUGACGGUUCUAUAGAGGUUCUCUGACGGUUCUAUAGAGGUUCUCUGAUGGUUCUGUACAGGUUCUCUGACGGUUCUAUAGAGGUUCUCUGACGGUUCUGUAGAGGUUCUCUGACGGUUCUAUAGAGGUUCUCUGACGGUUCUAUAGAGGUUCUCUGAUGGUUCUGUACAGGUUCUCUGACGGUUCUAUAGAGGUUCUCUGACGGUUCUGUAGAGGUUCUCUGACGGUUCUGUACAGGUUCUCUGACGGUUCUAUAGAGGUUCUCUGACGGUUCUAUAGAGGUUCUCUGAUGGUUCUGUACAGGUUCUCUGACGGUUCUAUAGAGGUUCUCUGACGGUUCUAUAGAGGUUCUCUGACGGUUCUAUAGAGGUUCUCUGACGGUUCUGUACAGGUUCUCUGACGGUUCUAUAGAGGUUCUCUGACGGUUCUGUAGAGGUUCUCUGACGGUUCUAUAGAGGUUCUCUGACGGUUCUGUACAGGUUCUCUGACGGUUCUAUAGAGGUUCUCUGACGGUUCUGUACAGGUUCUCUGACGGUUCUAUAGAGGUUCUCUGACGGUUCUAUAGGGUUAAACGGGGAUAUAAGUCGUUUUUCUAACG
Molecule: long non-coding RNA, 1698 nt
Organism: Acanthochromis polyacanthus (spiny chromis)
Lineage: Eukaryota; Metazoa; Chordata; Actinopteri; Pomacentridae
Exons: 12
Source: RefSeq, a predicted model, not a curated record